UUCCGGUUGAUCCCGCCGGAGGCUACCGCUAUUGGAGUUCGAUUAAGCCAUGCGAGUCGAGAGUCUUAGGGACUCGGCGCACCGCUCAGUAACACGUGGGUAACCUGCCCUAUGCUGGGGGAUAACCUCGGGAAACUGAGAAUAAUACCCCAUAGUUCACCACGCCUGGAACGGUGGGUGGACCAAAGCUCCGGCGGCAUAGGAUGGGCCUGCGACGUAUCAGGUUGUAGGGGGUGUAACGUACCCUCUAGCCAUCAACGCGUACGGGUGUUGGGAGACAUAGCCCGGAGAUGGAUUCUGAGACACGAAUCCAGACCCUACGGGGUGCAGCAGGCGCGAAAACUUGGCAAUGCGAGCAAUCGUGACCAGGGAACUCCAAGUGGCUGGGGUAAUACCCAGUUUUUUCUUGACUCUUCAAAGGUCUUGGAAUAAGGGGUGGGUAAGGACGGUGCCAGCCGCCGCGGUAAUACCGGCGCCUCAAGUGGUAGUCGCUUUUAUUGGGCCUAAAACGUCCGUAGCCGGUCUGGUACAUUCGUGGGUAAAUCAACCCGCUCAACGGGUUGAAUUCUGCGAGCACGGCCAGACUUGGGACCGGGAGAGGUGUGGGGUACUCUCAGGGUAGGGGUAAAAUCCUGUCAUCCUGAGAGGACCACCUGUUGCGAAGGCGCCACACUAGAACGGAUUCGACGGUCAGGGACGAAACCUAGGGGCACGAACCGGAUUAGAUACCCGGGUAGUCCUAGGUGUAAACGCUGUGGACUUGAUGUUGGGGGCGCUCCGAGCGCUUUCAGUGUCGAAGCGAAGGUGAUAAGUCCACUGCCUGGGGAGUACGGUCGCAAGGCUGAAACUUAAAGGAAUUGGCGGGGGAGCACUGCAACCUGAGGAUUGUGCGGUUUAAUUGGAGUCAACGCCGG
Molecule: ribosomal RNA, 914 nt
Filed under: uncultured marine archaeon
Lineage: Archaea
Description: bacterial SSU rRNA
Rfam family: Archaeal small subunit ribosomal RNA
Source: RNAcentral